GGUUUGAUAUUUCUCGUUGUUACUUGUGGAAGGGAAUUUUUUUUUAUUUGUUUCAGUUACAAAUUCCAAUUAUGCAUAUUUAAAUUUAAAUAGUUAGUACAGUUUUACAGUUGUUAGUUUAUACUAUGUUUUUGUAAAUGUUCUCUUCACUUGUUAUCUUUCUUUUGUGUACAGGCAUAGCGGUUUUAUAUUAAUUUUGAUUUCAAAUUAACACUUCGUUUAGUAUACAUAUUGUUUUUUAAUUUUCAUUUUUUUUUUGUUAUUUUUUUAUUUUCACUUAUAAUUUUUGUAUUUUUAUUUUGUACAGUCAAAUCAAUGAACACAGUUUUUCGUAGGUGGUUUUAAUUUCCACUUUUGUGUGUUUUGAACAGUCAUUCAAAUAAAAAACUAUUUUUCUGUGUAUUUUUUUAUUUCCACUUUUUUUUAGUUCUGUCAACUUUAAAUUUUUGUAUCAUCUAUUUGUUUCUUGUUCUAUUUACUUUCAAUACUUGUUUUUACUAUAGGAAUGCGAUGCGCGUCUAUUUGUUUGAACUGUACAGAUUCGGUAACUGUUAUUUUAAUUUUUGCCACUGUUUCAACAGAGAACGUAUAUUUACAGAGAAGGUCCAACAACGGACAGGCGUGUAAACUGUCAAAAGCUAACAAAAUGCGAUGAGCGUGUUUCACCACAGCUAGCUAAGAAGGAGAAACUUUAACAGUGGCGCGUGAACAGAGCUGAGCAUUCAAUGAAAAUUAUGCUCAGAAAUAUACAUUCUUAUUACAGACGUAUGUUAGUCUUUUGGAUAUAUUUUUUUAUUUUUUUUUAUUUUAUUUUAUUUUAUUUUAUAAAAGCUUGCAUAAUAAUACAAUUAUUAUACAAACUUAAGAAAAUACGCAGCACUAGCAUCAUGGGCUAUCGGCCGACUGGUUAUGUUAUAUGCGUCGAAGAAGGUCGCUGUCUUUCAAAAAGUUGUAGAUUUUCGAAAUGUUGUUGCUUGAGGGAUCCAUCAAUAAAAUUAUUGGAUCAGUAUUGUUGAAGUUUGACAUUCUAUGAGUUUGAAGUGCUGGACAAUGUUGCAGAAGAUGCAAUAGAUUUAAAUCUGAAUCACAAAAUGGGCAUUGGUUGAUCUGAGUGCCAUUUAGUAUGUGAGCGUGUGUGAUAAUGGAGUGGCCAAUGCGAAGUCUGAUAUAUGGAAUGAUAUAAUUAGAUGAAAGCGAUGACGGAAAGGAUGGUUUGAUACGAUUUGAAUUUAUUCUAGAGUAGUGGUGUCUGUAAUUCAUCCAAUCAAGCGCCAAUUUAGUGGAUCUUUGUUGAAUAAUAAGCCGUUUUAUAUCACUCUUAACAAACAAGGCAGAUGUAGUUGUUGGAGUGAUGCACACCUCCUUAGCCACCGAGUCCGCAAAAGUAUUUCCAAUGAUUCCAGAGUGACCGGGUAUCCACAUUAUUUUUAGUCUAUGUGCUAACGAAAACAACAGCGAUCUAAUGCCAAUAAUGACGUCAUUGUAGUUACUGCGGUUUUUUAAAGCUUGAAAACACGAUAGACUAUCUGUACAGAUGAUGAAUUUACCAAGGUUUUGUUGGGCAUACUGGACAGCUUUGAGAAUACCCGUAGCUUCAGCGGUAAAAAUUGAACAAAAUGGAAAUAAUAAACCAUACGAUAUUCUUUGUUGGUUAUCAUCAACUACAGCAAAAGAUGUAUGCGACGAUUUGGAGCCAUCAGUAUAUAUAAACUGCCAAUCAAAAGAUUUGAAGUGCGCAGAUAAUUCCAAAAAUCGAGAUUUAUACACAGUGGUUGGAGUGAUGGAUUUGCGAAGAAAAGUAAGAUCACUAAUGAAAGAAGAUUCAUUUACUUUCCACGGUGGAAUAUAUUUACUGCAAGGCAGCAAUAUUUUAAGCGGCAACUCAUUGGUUUUAGCAAACAAAGCACUUUUAAAAAUAGAAGACGGUAUUUUAGGAGACCUCUUUCUGCAAAGUGAUGAUUGAAAGUCCUUUUUUAUAGUAAAGUUCGUGCUGAGUAUGAGUUUUGAAUAAAGCUUAUUUAAGCUAUCUUCCACUGCAUCUUUUAGAGAAGGUAGGCCAGCUUCCGUCAGUAUGUUUUUAAUUGGCGAUGUUGGAAACACUCGAAGAGAACAACGAACUGAAGAAUGAUAGGGCGCAGCAAGCAUCUUUAGAUGAUUCUUAGAAUGAUGUCCAUAAAUUUCCAAGCCAUAAUUAAUUACAGAUGAGAUGAGGGCUUUAGUGACGUUGACCAGUAAAGCCGAGCCGAUGAGUGAGCGCUUACAUGAGAGAGUCUAAUACAAUACCAAGGAACUUAAUACUAUCUGUACACAAAAUGUUUGUAUUAUCAAAUGUGAGCGUUGGGAUAGUACAUUGAUGUUUUUUACAAAUAUGAAAAAGUUUCGAUUUAGGAAAAGAUAUUGAUGUGCCUGAAGUAGAGGACCAACGAGAAAGACGCAAUAAAAUUUCAGAGAAAGUAAUUGUUACUGAAGUCAAAUUUGAAGUUUUUGAGAAUAAAAUUAAAUCAUAGAAUAAAAUUAAAUUAACAAAAUCUGAUAGAAUGGUACUGAUUUCAUCAAAUGCAAUAGUAAAUAGGAUCACCGAGAGCGGUGACCCUUGUGGGGUACCAUUAUCUAAUGGUAGAACAGAGGAUGAAACAUUGGAUAUGAUAACACUUAAUUUACGGUUGGAUAGGAAAGAUUUGACAAAGUUAAAAAUACGAGAACCCACUCUCCACCUACUAAGCUGUCUUAACACUACAUGAAUCCCAAUCCUGUCAAAUGCUUUUAGGAAAUCUAAAGAAAGAAUAGAAACAUGAUUUUUGUGGGAGAGAGUAUCAGAGAUAAAGUGAUCAAGGUGCAGGAGAGCAUCCAACGUACCCUGCCCCCUCUUGAACGCAACUUGGUUGUGCGAAAUGAGAUUAUUAGAUUGAGCAUACCAGGCGAGUCUAGUAGCAAUAAUCUUUUCAAUCAAUUUACCAAGGCAAGGAAGAAGGGAAAUGGGACGAUAACUGCUGACCACACCAGGAGGUUUACCAGGUUUUAAAAUAGGAAUAAUCGCGCUAGUCUUCCAGAGGACAGGGUAGUUGCCACUGAGAAAAAUACUAUUGUAAAGUUUGACUAGACGGGAUAUAAGGAAAGGAGGAAGGUGCUUGAUGAUAAGGUAAGAGAUUUUAUCAAUGCCAGGAGUUUUGCCCUUGACUGACGAGAGGGCUAAAUUAAAAUCAAGUUCAGAUAUAUCGGCAUCUAAAUAUUCAGCUGAUUGAGAUAAGGUGGAAGGAGGAAGGUAAGGAGAGCAAAGAGAAGAAAGUUUACUAGAGGAAAAAUCAGAAGAGAAAUUGGAGUCCAAAGAAAUAUUGGAAAAGUGGGUGGCAAACUCUAAGGCUAUAUCUUUGGGAUAUAGUAGAGUGCCCCGAGGAGUAUUUAAAUAAGUGAUAGGAGAAGAAGGUGAUAAACCAGCAAGUCUUUUCAUAUCAGUCCAGAUUUUUCUAGAAUCCGAAGAAGAAGUGAUAUUAUUCGUAAAUUCUUGGAAACAAUGAACCUUAGCAGCCUUAGCUUUAUGGCGAAAAAAUGCAUUGGAUUUUUUGUAAGCUAUUAAGUUUGCACUAGAACGUAAACGUUUAAAUUGAUGCCAUGCGAUCUGUUUCAGAUUUCUUAGUGCAGAAAGCUCAUUAUUCCACCAAAGAGGAGCAAGCUUGACUGGUUUAGAAGAAGAAAGGGGAAAAGAAUAGUUAGAAGCAGAACGUAUAAUUUUUUGGAUUCUAGAAGCCUCUUGAUUUAUAUUGGAAGAAAAGGGGAAAUAACGUGAAUGCGAUAAACAGGCUUCUUCAAACCUAUUCCAAUCAGCCGAAUCAGUUUUAAACCGAAUCCUGGGCUUAUUGAUGAGAGGGAGGCAUAUAUUUGAUGAGAGGGAGGCAGAACAUAUGGAAAGAUCAAUAUUAGUGAAGGUAGAGUGAGUGGAAAAAUGGGUGGGGGAACCAUCAUUUAAAACAAUGCAGUUGGAUCUUAGUAAGGCAUCCUCAAUGCUACGUCCCUUGGAGUUAGCCGAAGCAGAGCCCCAAAGGGGACUCCAAGCAUUGAAGUCACCACACAAGAUAAAAGGAUUUGAACCGGAAGGAAUAAGAUUUAAAAAUUCAGUAGUAGAAAAUGAUUGAUCAGGAGGGGAAUAAGCACAGAUGAUUGAAAUUUUAUAGGGGGCGAGGAUCUCAAUAGCUACAGAAGAAAAAAUUGAAAGGGGUAUGGGAAGUAAUACGUGAGGUAGAUUUCUUUUAACUAGGAUGGCAACUCCCUGCUUGUUGGUGGUGUUAUGUGGGAGAUUAAUAAAAUAUCCCACAUAAGCCCUAGGGGUAAAAGCUGAGGCAUUAUAAGAUAGGUGAGUUUCAUUCAACAGGAUAAUAGAUGGAUUGUACGAUCCCAUAAGUAACUCUAAGUUAAUAUAAUUAUUAACAUAACCGUUAAUGUUCCAUUGAAGAAGUGUAAUCAUAUCAUAUGUAAACUUAUAAAAGAAAAAAGUUAA
Molecule: long non-coding RNA, 4492 nt
Organism: Bactrocera dorsalis (oriental fruit fly)
Lineage: Eukaryota; Metazoa; Arthropoda; Insecta; Diptera; Tephritidae
Exons: 2
Source: RefSeq, a predicted model, not a curated record